UGCAAGUUGGGCUGGUGACAUUGAUUUCGGUAAUGUAGUCGCCGAUGACAUCUAGCCCGACAAAGUGCAGGCCUUUGGCUUGUAG
This 85-nucleotide transfer RNA is filed under the name Thiosulfativibrio zosterae. RNAcentral describes it as "tRNA-Tyr". Lineage: Bacteria; Pseudomonadati; Pseudomonadota; Gammaproteobacteria; Thiotrichales; Piscirickettsiaceae. The record is from RNAcentral.